RNAcentral lists this long non-coding RNA (578 nucleotides) under Lonchura striata (white-rumped munia). RNAcentral's name for it is "domestica (Bengalese finch) lncRNA (ENSLSDG00000013883.1)". The record is from RNAcentral. Lineage: Eukaryota; Metazoa; Chordata; Aves; Passeriformes; Estrildidae.
GGUCGCUCCUGCGCAUGCGCGGCCGCCAUGAGGGACAGGACGCGGGAACCGCGCCAGAAUGGGCUUGUCUCCCGUCAUUUUUACACAAAAAUGGUGACCUCGACGUGAUAGGCGCCACGGUGGAGUGAGGAAAAAGAGUUCAGUGCUGAAUUGAAAUAGAGUGCACCGUGCCCCAGGUGACUGCAGAGGCAAGCCUGGCCGAUACGUGCUGCCGACGACCUCGGAGGGCUGCAACAGCGCUGACAAUAGAGAUGUCGUGGAUGUGCUGGCUGUUCUGAUGGAGGGCAGUGGUGGCUUAGAUGAAGAAAUUUGGUUCUCUUAAAUGUUGUCCCUGCUGCAUUAGAAGCCAGGAAUAUGCUUUGCUUCAGUCUGAAAACGGAACAGGAGCAGAUGAUGUGGAGUACCUUGGUGCUGUUUUCACUGGCCUCCUGCACUCUCUGAGAGAACCCCUUGCUCCCUGCGUGACGUUCCAGCUCUGUGACAAAGCUGCUAAGUAUCCUCAGCUCUACCAGUUUAACCUAUACUGUAGACUCUGGAUGCCCAAGCAGUCCCAGGAACCUGUGGUAUGGAAUCCCUGA